Scleropages formosus (Asian bonytongue) is the source of this 283-nucleotide long non-coding RNA. RefSeq lists it as uncharacterized. The record is from RefSeq and is a predicted model, not a curated record. The transcript has 3 exons. Lineage: Eukaryota; Metazoa; Chordata; Actinopteri; Osteoglossiformes; Osteoglossidae.
CCCACGGACAUCCUAUACGGCCGCACUCCCGUGGGGCUGAUGUAUCGGCCGAGCGUCGAGGGCCUCGCGGCCGAGAAACCACUUCCUGUUUUGCACACUCACUCACUCCAUGGUGAAGGUGAUGUGAGGUGAGGUGACGUGACGUGAGAGCGCCUUUGCCUGCUGUGUCUGCCAGCUGUGACUCACAUGUGCCGCGGUAUCGCGUCUCACGGCCGCUUCAUGACAUGGUGCUAACCCUCACGAAAAGGUCGCGGGGAGCCGGAGCCUAACCCGGCAACAUAGG